RNAcentral lists this non-coding RNA (27 nucleotides) under Homo sapiens (human). The record is from RNAcentral. Lineage: Eukaryota; Metazoa; Chordata; Mammalia; Primates; Hominidae.
UGCGCCAACCUUGUGCAGCAGCGGCUC